Monodelphis domestica (gray short-tailed opossum) is the source of this 4960-nucleotide long non-coding RNA. RefSeq lists it as uncharacterized. NCBI's taxonomy places the organism in Eukaryota, Metazoa, Chordata, Mammalia, Didelphimorphia, Didelphidae. The record is from RefSeq and is a predicted model, not a curated record.
CAGUCCACUCCUAACUAGGGGCAAGGGGAAAACAGUAUGUGCAGAUUGCUCAGUCUUGGGCAUGCUCAGUAGUGCUCAUGGCUGGGAAGGCCUCUGACCCUUGACCCCAGCUUCUCCCAGGUCAGGCGGGAAAACAGGUUUCUUUGUUCUCACCUGGUUAAGAGAAACCACACCUAUGCCUUGUCAUUGACCAAUGAGAAUCUUCCCUAUGUACUGUGUAUAUUUGCAUAUCAAAAACUAUAUCUAGCCCAGCAGGCUCCGCCUUCCCUCUCUCUGCUCUCUGCCCUCUGCUCUCUGCUCGCUCCUUCUCUUUCAGGCUACCUGAUGGCUGUCCUUGCAGGAGCUUGGCCAGAGGCCAAGCUCCAUCUUUAAUCUUUCUCUAUUCACCUCUCUGACCUAUGUGGUAUGGAUCUCAGGACUGGAAUAGCCUACUGAAUUGGUCCUUUGAUCAGAGCUUAGCUGUGGCUCAUCGAUAAUUAAUAAAGACUCAUUCUGAACACCUCAUAUCUCUAUUAGGACUCCGUCACUUCCCUCGUGGUAUCAAAACUUCUAUCCUGUCUCUAUCUUCCUACCUUGUGGCUUCUCUCACCUCUGAGAGAGCUACAGAUGGCGCCCAACUUUCUCGUGGCAUUCCACUCUUUUACUUCACACAGCGAAUGGGAGAACGCGUUCGAGGACACGAGGCUAAUAGUAGGCGGGUGCCGGAGUUCCAGGAAGGUUGCCGUACCUCUGGCCAAGGACGGUAAGUCCUCCUCUGCUUGAGGUGGGUCUCCCCUCUGAACCCUGCUCGACUCUUAAUGUCGUAGCUUGAUGGGGGAGAAAUGGAAGUCUCAAGAGCUUAAUUGCCUGAGACUGAAUCAGGAUGAGGGAAGCACACGAUCGGUCAGAGAGGGAUUCUUAAACUAUCUCUGUCAGGGAGGUGCAGUUUCCCUCCCCCACCUGGGUCUGCUAGUCGGAGGCCUCCUCUCUCGGACCUGGAUCUCCGGAGGUUAAGAAACACCUGAGGAGCGGUCUGAGGGGGAGGGGAAGGAAAAAGAAAAUUUGACCCAGGGAAAAACCCUCUCUAGGGGCGAUUGAGAACUUGAAAAAUCUCAGUCUGAAACAAACAGUUGCUAGAGCCUAGUGAAUUUCAAAAGGAGCAACUGGGAAAAGAAAAAGCAGGAGUUAAAAUUUCAUCAGGAAAGCAAAGUCAAAUUUACCUGCUAUUCAUACGCAAAAGCGGGAAAGGCUAGCGAAGACGCAAGGCAGAAACUGCUGCAGAAUGCUAAGGAGUUCUUUCUUAAGCACUUCUUAUUUCAAAAGUUCUGCAAGCUAAUCUUUACAAGAAACUCCCUGUGCCUUUUCAGGAGAGGUCGGACUCAGAUGCAUUUGAAAGGCCUAUCAGGAAGUGGUUGCUUUAAUCUCAAAGCAGGGCAUUUAAAAGAUCAGAAUUACUUGGAAAAAACGGAUAAAAAACAAAAAAUUUUUUUAAUAAAACCGUAGGUCUCAGCACAAUUAAGGAAUCAAGGUAAUAAUCCUGAAUUAGGUUAAAUUUGGAACAGCCUAAGUUGUAAAAAGAUAUUGCCAUCCUGUAACCAAAGGCAGAAGAUUUUUUUUAAAAAAAGCAAGUCCUAGGGACUCUUUUGUUUGAGGUCCAGCCAGGUAAAGGCAGGCUUUACCUGGGCGAUUGCAAAUACAGUAAAGUAAGAUUUGGGAAUUUGAAUUUUAAUUUAGGUUGGAUAGGCAAAAUUAUAAAGGAAUGUCUGCUUAUAUUUUUUGAUAAAGGAAGUUAAAAAGGAGAAUUAAAUAUCUUUCUCUGACUUUUGUUAUAUGCCACAAAAUAUCAGGACUAGAAAUGUUUUAUCUGUAGAGAAAUUUUGGUAUAUAUCUCAAGGUAAUUAAAGUGCAAACAGAAAACUUUUAAGGUUUGAGUUUAAAUCUGAAGCAGCUUGAAAUGUUUUUUCUCUACCGGCCACGUGGUUUGAGCCACGUGGAAGAUAGCAUCAGAGCAACUGAGGUUGCAAGUUGUAUCACUAAGGCUGUAAUUGGCUAGAAGAACAAAUUUAAUAUUAAGAUAUAAUAAGCAUGAGUUGGAAUAUGAUUUAAAGGAAUUUCUAAGGCUUUCUAAUUUUAACUAUGGAGGAAUUAUUAACACUUUUCUAAGCAGGACAUAAAGCAACAGGAAGAAUCUUGAGCAGAGCUUAUUCAAACAACCUGUAUGCAGUUCAGAAACUUUUUACUGGGCAUAUUAACAUACCUGUAUCCAGAAAGCAAAUGAUCUAUAACUAGAAUAGCUUUUACUAUGGAAAAUUAAGACACAUGCUCAGCAGGGUAAAAGCAUGGUUAGAAGGAUUCAAUCUGUUUACCAGUGGUUAAUUAUUAAGGUUAUCAGGAACUCUGUUACUCAGUACAGUAAUUUAUUAAGGAUUUGAAAGAGGCAAUACUAUCAUGUAUUAAAAUUGCAGAUACUGAAGCUGAUCAUGAUAUUGAAAAGAGACCUAUGAUAAUAAUGCAAAUUCAAAGAUUACUGGCAUAAUUUGAUUUAUUUCUGCAGUGAAGAUUUGCAGAAUUAGCAGAUGAAAGUAAUGAUUUUAGUCACAGUAUUAAGAUCUUUUCAGUUAUGGAGCUAAGGGCAGUAGUUCAGAAAUAACAACUUCUGUGCAAUUGUUUGAUAAUUCUGUGCACAUUUUUCUAGCAUAGGACAAUGCUAUAAUUUUAAUAACUGCACAAGGCGGAAAUUUUUCAAAAAGCAAAAAUUGUGUGCAGGCAGACAAAGACUUAAGAUCCCAGCACACAUGGGUCAAUUCACAAGUGAUUUAUAGAAUGAUAUUUUUAUGAUUAUGGGUUUGAAAAAGCAAAUAUUUAAGCAUCUAUACAUGCUGUUUUGAACACACAGCUGCUGGCAUUCUCUGCUCUAGCAGAGGGCCAGAUCUAUUGUACAUCUAUAUCCUGAACAAGCAGGUGAUAUUGCUUAUCAAUACAAACUGCUGUGGAUUAAUUUCACCCCUGAUAGAUAUCCACUGUAUAUUUUGGAGCAAAAGGUGCAUUUCAGUAUGCUCCUGGCACAAAGGUUGAACUGUGAAAAGUGAUGGGAGAUACUUACUCUCCUGGUUUAUGGGUUCAAGCUCAAAUGAAGAAGUGAGCAAAGUGAUUACAGAUUCUAUAAAUAUCUGUGCACUACUGUCUAUUCCAAACAGCUUGGAAUAGCAGGGCUUUUAACAGCAAUGCAAAGGCUAAAUUGCAUAGCUCAUGGCUUACAUGCAAGCUAUGGUACAAAGAGCUCAAAGGAAUUCAUGAGCCCCAAGGUUCAAAAACUGAAGGUAUAUAUGUUCUGUCACUUUCUAACUCUCUUAAGACCCAAUGAGGCUUUCAUUUGGGGUCGAGGUUUUGUUUGUAUGUUCACAGAUAAUGAAAACAUCUGGUCACCCACGUCAUGCUUCAUGCCAGCUGAUACAGACCAGGAAGAGAAGCAGACGGAAGGUGAUGGCAUCAGCUACCUACAUGCCAGCCACAAUCCAGACUCGCUGGAAGGACACUUCUUUGGUGACUAAUAUCACUCUAGAACAAUGACAUUACACUAUUAGAGACAUUGGCUAUUAGGCCACUGAAGGACACUUGUCAUGCUGACAUCCAUUGAGAUGGGGUACCCAGAGCAACAUCAAGUAUGCUAACUCAGAAGGACUAAAUCACACUCGUGUCUGUACAAGACACCAGAUACAUCCCACAUUCCAAAGACUUUGCGAUGGGAUUGAGAUGAAAUAGCUACAAAUUGUCUAGCUACUAAAGUAUACCUUGUAUUUUGUCUAUGACACUGUCAAAGGGAAUUUUGUAUGCAUUAUGAAUUGUAUGCAUUGUAAAUCCACCACUUGUAUUAUAAGAAAUGCUGUUAUCAACAAGGGUAUAGACCUUGGUAUGACUCUCCAAAGAGUAGGAGAUAGAAAACUUUCAUUCAUAGGAUAGAUCUGAUAUUUCUGACAACAAAAAUGAGGUGCUAAGCAGAAAAUGCUGCACAGACAGGUUUAAUGGACAGAUGACACUGAUGUUACUCUCAAGAAAGGAUGAGAGAUCAGGGAAAAGACAUUAGGAAAUCUUUAAUCAGGAACUUGAGUUAUUGUAAGAGAUCAUUGACAUCCAGGCAAAGAUUAUGUUCCUGACAUUACAUUAAGGGCUGACUACCAUAGCAGUAGUUGAGUGUUAAUACCAUUGCUAACCAUUACUCCUGAUACCCUGUCUUUGUGGGUAAUAUCUUGAUAGGAAAAAUGUCUUGCUCUCCUCCAACAGUCCCAGAAUUCAGACGGCCGCUGGAUUCGGGAUCUAUUGGCUUCCCUUUCAUAUACUGGAAGACGUUCUGGUAUAUGGAAGUAAGACCUCAUGAAAAACUGAGGACUCUAGGUUUGACAAUUUCUGUGGACGCGCAGUCAUUGUCUCUCCUAGGUGGAAAAAAUUAUUAUUGCACAAAAACAUGGAGCAAGGGCAAAGUAUAAUCUAAGUUUUACUGUUUUGGAGUAUGGAUUAAACACAUGACACAAUAGGCACAGAUAAGCUUGCAGAAAAAGCACAUUGAAUAUUAUUCACUGACAAUUAGGAAUGAAAAAGCUAUGUCAAAUGCUGUAGGUACAAGAAACUGUAGAAAUUGUUUCUACAUGGGAAACAACUUAAGCUUCUAUUUACCCAAACAUUGGUUUGGUGGAAGGAAUUUUGCAAAUAUUGGUAAUGGUAUAGGCUUGGUUACCAUAUUGAUGGGUUUAUUCAUACAAGCAGAGAUUUAAAAUAAGGAAGACAUUAGGAAUAUGCAGUCAGAACUUGAAAUAUUACUUCAUUAUCACCAUCAUGGUUAUUUAAGUUACAAUUGAGAAUGUAAAAUGGAUGGGAAUAUUGGUAUUUGUUAAAAAUUGCACUGUGAUUGAUGUAUUGAUGUUUUUGCAAAGCCUGUAAUGGUGCAAAAUUAUGUUCAUAUACAAGGCGAAUUUUGAUCUAUUUA